CACAAAAGAAGAGAUCCUGGAGCUGCUGGUGCUGGAGCAAUUCCUGACUAUCCUGCCCAGUGAGAUAAGGAUUUGGGUGAAGUCACAGCAUCCACAAAACAUUGAGGAGGUGAUCACUUUGGUGGAGGAUGUGACCCAAAUGUUUGAGGAGGAAGCUUUGCAUCCUCAGGAUUCUGUCCAAGAGAGGAACACGGAGAAAGAAGAAAAGCCUGCUGGGUUUCCACCAGCCAAAUUUCAGCUAGAGUGGAGUGAACUGGUAAAAAUCAAGGCCAAACCAGAAGCCAAAAAACAAGAAGAUACUACUUGGAGAUACAGC
This is a long non-coding RNA of Gracilinanus agilis (Agile Gracile Mouse Opossum), 316 nucleotides long. RefSeq lists it as uncharacterized. The record is from RefSeq and is a predicted model, not a curated record. The transcript has 3 exons. Lineage: Eukaryota; Metazoa; Chordata; Mammalia; Didelphimorphia; Didelphidae.